GGGAGAGGUGAUUAGGUGGGACAUGGAGCAGUUACAGCUCACUGAGGACAUGACCCUAGAUAGGAAGAUCUGGAGGACGCGAAUUAGGGAAGAAGGCUAGGGUCAGUUCAGGUCGCUAGUGUAGGGAAUUACUUGGUGGGGGUAUUAUUCUUGUUAUGAUACCUUGUUUCAUGCUUUAUUACGAAUCUGUUUAAUUUUCUCUGUUUUCUAUUACUUGUGGGUGUCGUAUUUAUGUUAUGUCAUCUUGUUCCAUGCUUUACUAUGUAUUUGUGUAGUAUUCCGUGUCUCGAGCCGGGGGUCUAUCGGAAACAACCUU
Molecule: long non-coding RNA, 316 nt
Filed under: Capsicum annuum
Lineage: Eukaryota; Viridiplantae; Streptophyta; Magnoliopsida; Solanales; Solanaceae
Description: long non-coding RNA (CANN_LNC004997)
Source: RNAcentral